AGGCAGGCUGGCAGACCGCCGACUGUGACGGGAAGGUUCACCCAGUCAGCGCUGGGGAGCACGGAGGGCCAAGGCAGGCUGGCAGACCGCCGACUGUGACGGGAAGGUUCACCCAGUCAGCGCUGGGGAGCACGGAGGGCCAAGGCAGGCUGGCAGACCGCCGACUGUGACGGGAAGGUUCACCCAGUCAGCGCUGGGGAGCACGGAGGGCCAAGGCAGGCUGGCAGACCGCCGACUGUGACGGGAAGGUUCACCCAGUCAGCGCUGGGGAGCACGGAGGGCCAAGGCAGGCUGGCAGACCGCCGACUGUGACGGGAAGGUUCACCCAGUCAGCGCUGGGGAGCACGGAGGGCCAAGGCAGGCUGGCAGACCGCCGACUGUGACGGGA
Non-coding RNA from Oryctolagus cuniculus (rabbit), 388 nucleotides. The record is from RefSeq and is a predicted model, not a curated record. NCBI's taxonomy places the organism in Eukaryota, Metazoa, Chordata, Mammalia, Lagomorpha, Leporidae.